ACAGAGGGAACUGCACCUCUUUCAGGGUGUCUCAAGGAAUAAAAAAGUGCAUUUUGCUGAUAGAUUGCUAUUAGGGACCCUCUAAACCUCUCAGCCACAAGAAGACUGUUUUGCUACUCUUUUUGUUGAGAAGGCAAAGGAACUGAUUUGGAAAAUGUAAAACCUACAAUGUGUUUUCAUUGCAGAUCGUGGCACUUUCGUCCUGAAAUUUGGGGAAGAUAACUUUUAAUUACGGUAAUAAGAACCACAUGGGCAAUGACUGAUGCGAACCUGCUGGGUCCUAUUCCUUUAUCCAUCUUUUUAAUGAGAGGCCAAAGACUGUUUUCUCUGCCGGGAAGGAGAAGAGCUGGGCCUCGAUGCUCGGCUGCACUUCGGGAUGGAGACCGGAUUGCUUGCCAAGGGUCCCUGGUAGCCUGGGCGGCGGGGGAGGGACCCAGAGCUGGGAUCACCUGUUUCCAGCUGGGGCCGGCUUUGCCUCUAUUUCUUGCUGCAAGUCAUCCUCGCGAACAAACUCUUCUUUUUCUUUCUGUUGGAACGGUCUUCCUGGCAUUACUGAAACUGGGGAGUCAGGGAGAGGAUUGAAACAGCUGCCACACCAGUGUUGGGAGUUGACAUCUGCCAUGAAAUUGAGGGGGAAGGCCUGCAGUGGCGACGUCAAGGCAGCUGGACAGGGGCUGCCACCGAUAGGGGCACGUUGGAAUGUGGACUGAGGCCACAGAAACCAAAGAAUAACGGGGUCAGCACUAACUGGGAUUGCUGGCUGAUGACAGAACUGACAAAAUAGAAAAGCAGGGUUGGGAAAAAAAUAAGUAAAUAAUCAACAUAUACGGAGCACUGUAUCACACCCACUUGAAAGGUUUAUAGAAGUCAGCUCUUUGAGCUCAAUGGCGUGGAAUCGUUUAUUCAUUCGACAGAUUUUUAUUGAAGUCUUAGCGUUCAUCAGACUGUGCCAGGCCCUGGGGAGGCUGUUCCGAGGAAGAUAACCUGGGAGAGUCAUGACCUCACGAAUGAUGUAGAUUCUUUUCGCAUACGGAUCAUCACAGGAUAUUGGACAAUGUUCUCUGUACCUUACAGCAGGUCCCCGUUGGCCAGUCAUUCCACAGACCUCAGUGUGCAUGUGCCCAAAAUCCCAAACCCCAAGGCCAUCCCCAUACAUUUGUUUUCAAAGUCUGUAUGUUCCUAUUCUGCAGGCUAGAGCCUGAAGUCCUGGGGUCCGGGGGUUGAGAAGAGAACCUAACGCGUUAGAACGAGAACAAGCUGGAAGCCACGAACAGAGGUGGGAAGCCAGAAAGCCUCCUGUCCGGCCUCUGCUGAGAACUAUGGGUUCUCAGUGCCCACAGCCUCGAGGGUAACCACGUCCUGCAGGAGACAUCAGCCCCCUCAUCACAGAGCUGAACACCGGCCCUGGAUGUGGAGACGCUGAACAGAAUCCGCAGGAAGACAGAGGGGUUGCAGGCCCGGCUGCAAGCCCACACGGAUGAAGCAAAGCGACGCAGAAGGGCGAAGUGCCCUUGCUGUGAAUUUGCCUGGUGACCCUGCCCUGACCCUCUGAGGAUGUAAACAACCUGCCUGCAGCUUUACUGCCACCCUCCACCUGUCGGGCAGCAGGCGUCUUUUGCAGCCCCCUUUACGGAUGAUGUAGAGGGAAGGGGAUUCUGGGAAAUGUAGUUCAGCCAAAGCUCUGCGGCUCCUCGUUCUGUCAUCCUAUCCUGCCUUUCAACCCCAUUGAGUUUAAUGUUGGAAUAGCUGUCCAAUGUCGAGGUAAACGGCUAAAUGGUCGCAGGAGUGAAUACAUCCUCCAAGCCCCCUCUUAGAACCGGAAUUCUGCAUGGCCUUGUUAAGAUUUCAAAAAUCAGUUUCAACCAGUAGACAAAACAUGCAUAGUGUUCGGACCGCAGACCUGGGAGAAAGCAAAGGCCUCCCUCCAAGGAGGUAUAGUUGGAGACUGUUUUGAAAGGAAUCACUUAAAAGGGGCGGGCAGGGUGUAAGGAAGCCACCGGGAUAGUGCAGUGCUCUGAGGCCUGCAACGCUUGCAACUGUGGGUCUCUUGCCAGAGCCUCUUCCCAAAGGAUGGGAGACCUCGGGUACCAGGGUGGAGAACCCUACAGAGGGCACCCUCCUGGAGACAGGCACAGCCAGUUCCGGCUAUCCCUGCAAAUGACCCCUGUCUCAGCCUUCCCUCUGAUCUGCCGCAGGGACUUCCCAUGGGCUGGACGCAGCAAAAGCCAGUGAGCAAACGAGCCCCUGGCGGGGCAGACAGCGGGGUGGAGAAGAGUGGAAAAUGUAUGCAAAGGAGCAAGGGAGCAGACUCAGCAAAACCACCCCCGUCGUCAUCCACACAGACAUCAGAGAGACCCAACCGUGACCCGGGCCGGCACUGUUCUCUUGGAAGAAGGAGGCGGUGUGUUGAGGAGUUUGCGACUCAACCAGAACUUGAGCCCCCUUAAGGUCGAGGGUGUCUCUGUCACGCCACAUCCCUCAUACCCAGCCUGAUGUCUGGCUCCUAGUAGGGCUCCAUAAAUGUUAUAUUAACUGAGUUGAUUGAAUGAAAUUAGGUCAUUGAAGACAGCGCCACCGUGUAGACACUCACGCCCUGGGUGCUAACUGUGUGUCAUCACCUCCAGAUAGCCUUGAAAUUUUCAAACAUCGUAAACACUUGGACAAUUUAACUUCCUUUUUAUAUUCCCACCCCUCCCGUAAAUAAUGAAAGCCAGAAAGGAGGAAAGAAGAAAAUGCAAGGGCCUGUGUAAUUUGCCAGAGGCGUAGCUAGCCUCCAGACAAAGAUCCCGGUAGGUUGCAACCCUCUUGUCCUGUUGGAGCUUUAGUGCUGAGCAAUGGAGAGCCUUCUCCACCAUAGCCAGGCAAGUGCUGAAGCCUUGGCAUAGUUGGAAAUGACUCCAUAUUUCUAAUACUAGUUUUUCUUUUAAGCUAUUUGUAAAUGAUUUAUGGUAGCAGCAAAUCAGAUCAUGAUAAGAUAAAGCUUUUUAGAGGUCAUUAAAGAGUUUGGGGGAAGUUCCCACAAAGAUGCUGGUCUUAUACUGUCUGAGUGAUAAGGCAAGUUAACAAUUUAUGUCAAAGUUUGCAAAAUGUGUUUGUCUGAUAAACAGUUUCCUCUGCGAGCAUCAAUCAUGCUUGCUCUCGGUGGUGUGUUGUAUUUUUCAUGAAGUGAACUUUCGUGACUUUGCCCAUCUACGGGUUUCUGAGAUUGUGGCAUGCUAAAGGGAGCUUCCCAUCUACCCUGUACAGCUGCAUUUCAGAUCUCAUGGUGCAGCUGCCGUAACGCGGGUGCCAGCGUGGGCUGGGAAGGAGGAAAGCGGGUGCCAUUGGGAAGGGAAGAGUCACACAGCCCCGGAUCAGGAAAACAUAGAUUCACUGGGGCAAAAAAGAUGAAGCAGGUGUGUGACUACACACUGUUUCAAGCACAAGACUUCUAGGUGGUAUGGACUCCGAUGGAUCCAGUCGCAUCCUGGAAGACCGCACUGGUCACUGAUUCAAGUGCGCUAUCAGGAGGCAUUGUCCGUAUGAGGUAGGGAGCUGCUGUCCCGUUUCAGCUCCGGUCCUUGCUCCACGUCCUCCUCUGGAAAAUAAGGAUAGUAACACCUGCACCAUCCAUCUCGUAAGGUGGUUCCGAGAUCAGACACAGGAUUGCAUAGGCGCAGACUCCGCACACGCAAUCGCUCUGCAAAUAUAAGCAACACGAUAAGUGUUGGCUCAGGAGAGAGGGUGUAUUUGCUGUCCUUCUACAAUUUUAAAAAUAAAAUAAGACGCUCUCAAGACCGCAGGACAACUUGGUUAACAUACGUUCAGCUUUCUCCAAUCUCACCAUUUUGGAAGCAUUUGCAACUGCUUAUAAAUCACUUCUCGAAAUUGCCCUGAGCCGAAAUGAUAUUUCGGAGCGCAUGUUAAAAGCCUGUAAGUGCUUCUGUGCUUGAACAAAGUGAAAUCAGGUUACGUUAAUAGAAGUAUUAAUUAAUUUGCUCUAAUUUUAUGCAGCAGAAUUAGCAUUAUUGAAAAGUCUCUCCCUUUCUCGAGUACCCUAAAGUGCAGGAGGCUUUGGCGUUGGGGGCUCAGCUAUCGCACCUCCCAGUGAGUGUGGGAGUGGGGAAGAUUAUUCUCUAAUUUGGAAACCUGAGACGUUCCUGGGAAGUGCUGUGGGGUGUGUUAUAAUGAAAAUACCAAUCCACAUUUGCCAUGGUUGCCAUAAGCAAAAAUCUUAAUAUCUUGGCCAAACCUACUUAAGGUUCAUGUAAUAAACCCGCAUUCCUAAUUUUAUUAGUGAUGGGCCACGUUAAGCACUUUGCUGGCCUUUGGACAGAUUUACAGCUUGACUGUGCUGACUUAGUGGUGACUGACAAGAGGACAUUGUUUUAUAGGAUGCUAUUUAGAUAAAAACCUGCAGGGUGUUUCUGUAAUGUUGUCACUUCAAGUCCAAACAGGAAAAAAGAAAUGUGUAUGAAGGAGGCCUCUUCAUCAGCUUUUCUGAGUUUAAUCUACUGCAGUCAAAUGCUUCCUUAUAAGGCAAGACAUUUUAAUGUACAGAGACACCCUUAUCUCUGUUGCAGGUUUCAGAAUAAAACAAUCUCUUAGGCUUAGGACUGCAUCAAAAAAAAAAAAGUUCAGUGAGUUAAUAUUUGUUAAGUGCUUAGAACAGUGCCUGGCAUACAGCACGCUCACUCUGUGUUUGUUGCAUAAGUGAAAUAGAUAAAAUGGAAAUGUGUUUUGCUCAUUCCACAGUGUCUUUGUUUAGUCCCCCAGCAUCACGUCCAGCCCCUCUCCUCCUUAGCAGCAUUUUCUUGCUACUGCGGUUUCCAAAAGGUUAGUCAUUAGACCUCCCCAUGGUUUUAAGAAUUCACAGACCUCCUGUUACCAGGAGGAAGCGCAGAACCUUCUCUGCAUUCGUGAACCUCAGCGCUAACAUUCCUGCUGGGUUUUCGACCUGAGCGCGCUCGGCCCGUCGGUUACAGGAGAUCGGAUUGGCUUCUGAUGGUGUUGGGGAGGAUGUGACAUUUGGGGUUCCCUGUACCUCGCCAGAAACAGCUGAGUGAGGUUGCGAGCACGGACCCUGGCCGCCCUCCCUCUUGGUUUGGUUACUGAGGGAAUAAGUCUUCUUUAGAAAUUGACGUCAAGGUUUAUAAAUGUGUUUUCUUCAUGACCCAGACAGGUCUUUGGCCUGAAUUCAAAUUCAUUCAUCCACAUCCCGACUCCUCUUUCUUCUCAUUACGAAGAAAAAAAGAAAAAGAGGAGAUAAGACACUGAACACACUCUUCUUUUCUGGGACCAAAGAUAAAGAUAAUUCUGUCCAAAGCUGACUUUACACAGUAUCACGGAAAGGCUUGACUUGAGACUCCAACUUCCAACUGAGAGAUUCUUGAAGAGGGUCUUAGGAUCUGUAUCAAACUCGUUAGCACGGGCCACACGAAAGGAGACCGCCAAUACUUGUGACAUUGUUCUCCCGUUUAGCCAAACUAUGUUCCUGUUGCCUACAUGCGGUGGGCGAGGUAGACAAGGAGCAGACUCGAGCUCACUGGAGGGAGAUGCUGACCCACGGCCCUGUUUCUGGUGAAACCCCUGCAGACAAUUCCGGUCCAGGCGGGAGCUGACUAGACUGCUACCAGCAUCUUCAUCUUUGACCUGAGGAGCUCAAAAAACCCGACAAGUGUUCCUUAUUCCUCCCAGCUCUCUCCUGGCGACACAUUAUUGUCUCAGUUCACACAAGCAUAGACCCAGCAGUGGAAUAACUUGAGCAAGGUUCCUUGGAUCCCAACCUCUGUCUUUCAAGGGCCUCAUGUCCACAAAGCCUGGCCUCUCCCCGUGGGCUCUCAGCCGCUUUGGAAAUCCAGGUACAGGGGAUAUAAAUUAGGCAUCAUCUAUUCUGACUCUUGGUCCUGAUGCUUUUGGUCAAACAUCUGGAUAUAACAUGCACCCUGACUGCAUGUGUAUCCUACCUCCUCCCCAAGCUAGCAGGCUGAUCACCUGAGGCUCACUUUUCUCCUCUCUAAGUAAGGUUCAUAAUAGCAAAUCCCUCCUAGAGUUGUUUUGAGGAUUGCAAAGGAAAAUAAAUGCAAAGUUCUUAAAAAC
This 6078-nucleotide long non-coding RNA is filed under the name Sus scrofa (pig). RNAcentral's name for it is "lncRNA (ENSSSCG00030008852.1)". Lineage: Eukaryota; Metazoa; Chordata; Mammalia; Artiodactyla; Suidae. The record is from RNAcentral.